UGAGGAAUAUUGCUCAAUGGGAGAAAUCCUGAAGCAGCAACGCCGCGUGGAGGAUGAAGGGUCUAUGACUUGUAAACUCCUGUAAAGAAGGAAAAAAUUCCCAUUUGAUGGGAGAUGAUGGUACUUCUGGAGUAAGCCCCGGCUAACUACGUGCCAGCAGCCGCGGUAAUACGUAGGGGGCAAGCGUUGUCCGGAUUUACUGGGUGUAAAGGGUGCUCAGGCGGAUUUGUAAGUCAGAGGUGAAAUCUUACAGCUUAACUGUGAAACUGCCUUUGAUACUGCAAGCCUAGAGUAUGGAAGAGAGAGAUGGAAUAUCUGGUGUAGCAGUGAAAUGCGUAGAUAUCAGAUAGAACACCAAUGGCGAAGGCAGUCACUUGGUCCAUUACUGACGCUAAAGCACGAAAGCGUGGGUAGCAAACA
Molecule: ribosomal RNA, 420 nt
Filed under: uncultured bacterium
Lineage: Bacteria
Description: bacterial SSU rRNA
Rfam family: Bacterial small subunit ribosomal RNA
Source: RNAcentral